GGGGCCGUAUUGGAAUCGACAGGAUUGAUAACUUGUAAGUAAGCAUGCCGGAGCAAGAUUGGUCACUCCGUAAAAAAUGACAAUCAAACCUUUACAUGGCAACUAUCAGUAUGCCAUGGCUGCCUGAUACUAGGUAUCAAGGCGCCAUUGUGCCCUGCGUUUGACUCCUACUACACAGCGCAACGCACAUCAUCCAACCUGUAGGAUAGCCCAAAGGAAGGCCCCGGCCGGAGGGCGAAAACCCGGAUUGCCGGGACAGGGGAUAAGGCGCAGGCCGGGUCGGUCACAGAACCUAACCUGCGCUCGAAAACCUAAUCAGUGACUAAGCAUGUAGAAAGCUUAUGGGUGCUUUCUCUGGACCCGGGUUCAACUCCCGGCGGCUCCACAA
This 388-nucleotide transfer-messenger RNA is filed under the name Saprospiraceae. RNAcentral describes it as "UBA6168 sp011321935 Standard tmRNA". It matches the Rfam family "transfer-messenger RNA". From Rfam's summary of the family: Bacterial tmRNA, also known as 10Sa RNA or SsrA, is named for its dual tRNA and mRNA-like properties. Its role is to liberate the mRNA from a stalled ribosome. Lineage: Bacteria; Pseudomonadati; Bacteroidota; Saprospiria; Saprospirales. The record is from RNAcentral. RNAcentral also lists the same sequence under 1 other name.